CCAGAUUGGAAGCAACAGAUUUGAGCAGCAGCUGCAAAGAUUCACACUGAAAUCCUCUGGAAUUCAUUGACAAUGAUAUAUUGGCAAGGUUCAGACAUAAUGCUAAACCAUGGUUUCACAUUAUGUCUGAAUCCAAGCCUUUCCACACUCCACGAUUUGGUUGGGCCCACAAACCAGGAUCCGAAAUCACAGAUUGAAACUAGUUUGCAAACGACUAUUGGUGGUGUUGUGGUUUCUGUUAUGUGUGAAUUCACAAACUAUUGACAAAACACAGUUAGGACCAUUGCUUCAACUCAAGAAACUGCUGCAUCAUUGAAACCGGAGUUGUUCCACCUCAAGAAUGUGAACAUGAAGCUGAAUCCUGAGCAGAAGGGAAAGAAAAGCAGAGAAGCAGCACUAAACCAUGGUUUAACUGUUUAUCUAGAAGCUCAAAUCAUGGGGAGGGUUUUAAGAUAUGGUUAGUACAAACCAUGGUUUCCCAUUAUGUCUGAACCCAGCCAUUGUUUAAGGAACACUAACAUGAAUUCUCUUCCAAAAGAAGUUUAAAACUUAUGACAAUUGCCUACAGGGAAACAUGUAUUGCAAACCUUUUUCAAAUAUUCAAAGUAAAGAAGCCAACAGUGCAAAUCAACAAUUCCCCCCUAUACUCUGAUUCUCUUGUAUGAUGCCAUUCUUUUUAUCUAAUAUUCUGUUAAAAAUUUUACAUAUUUGUUAAAUGGAAAUUCUUAUCACAACACCAAUGUUUAUCAGUUGAUCAAACUCUAGCCAAAGAAUAAAUGAAAAAGUGCUCUGUAUUUUUCUAAACUGUCUCAAUUUAGUAUUUUUUGUAAAUUAGUUUUUACAGAGAGGUCAAUAAUAUCCUCACAGGUUUGUGUUCUCUUCCCUUUUCAGGGGAUUUUGAUAGUAGGAAAGUACAUUUGCCUUUUUCCAGCAAGAUUUAAAAUGCUGUGGUGCCCCAGACUGGCUCAUGAUAGCCUGGGUGUUUUAUCUUGUUUAAGCAGAUGCAUGAUGAACAAUAAAAUGGAAUCUAAGAUGUAAAUUGUCUUGGGAUAGAUCCAGAUAGUCAGAUCUUUCUUAAGGAAUAACAACAAAUACAUGUCAAUUACCAAAUGUAAAGCAAUGUGCCUCUAGAAUACUUUACUACUGUAACUCUAGAAUAUUAAAAAUGUAAAUCAUUUCUCUCACAAAUUCUUGAA
Hemicordylus capensis (graceful crag lizard) is the source of this 1196-nucleotide long non-coding RNA. RefSeq lists it as uncharacterized. The record is from RefSeq and is a predicted model, not a curated record. The transcript is spliced from 3 exons. NCBI's taxonomy places the organism in Eukaryota, Metazoa, Chordata, Lepidosauria, Squamata, Cordylidae.